CAGCAGCCGCGGUAAUACGGGGGGGGGCAAGUGUUAUUCGGAAUGACUGGGCGUAAAGGGCUCGCAGGCGGUUUCUUAAGUCUGAUGUGAAAGCCCCCGGCUCAACCGGGGAGGGUCAUUGGAAACUGGGAAACUUGAGUGCAGAAGAGGAGAGUGGAAUUCCACGUGUAGCGGUGAAAUGCGUAGAGAUGUGGAGGAACACCAGUGGCGAAGGCGACUCUCUGGUCUGUAACUGACGCUGAGGAGCGAAAGCGUGGGGAGCGAACAGGAUUAGAUACCCCGGUAGUCCCUGUCUCUUAUA
Molecule: ribosomal RNA, 301 nt
Filed under: uncultured bacterium
Lineage: Bacteria
Description: partial 16S ribosomal RNA
Rfam family: Bacterial small subunit ribosomal RNA
Source: RNAcentral